Molecule: long non-coding RNA, 202 nt
Organism: Rhododendron vialii
Lineage: Eukaryota; Viridiplantae; Streptophyta; Magnoliopsida; Ericales; Ericaceae
Exons: 2
Source: RefSeq, a predicted model, not a curated record
GCGAUCAUAUGAAGUAAGAACAACUUCUUUAUGGGAUGGUAAGAAGUAAGAACAAAUCAAAAGACAGAAUACGGAUCAGUUAUGCUCAUGAAUUGCUAAAACAGAAGAUGUUAAUAGGUUCAUUUUGGCCGGGCAGUACAAAAAGGGACACGUGUCGAGAUUUUAUUGGACUACAUGGUACCCGAGUACUAGCCCAGGAUGC